AUGUGGUUCACUUCACAAUACACCAACAUGGGCAUGACUCCCCAUUUCUCCUCAGUCAUGUUCCAACACACAGUACAAGAGGAACAUGCUGGUGUGAAAGGCCAGUGGUCUCAGCCAGGCCUGAGUAAACAGAUUUUCUUUCUCAAAUUCCUACUGAUGGAGAAAGUAAGGAUUCUGGUGUGGCAAAAAAAAAAGAAAAACAAAGUAACUUGUCACUUAGUAAUUCAUGUGGAAAGAGACCUAGCCUACAAGAGGACAUUGUCAGCUGAAUGA
Molecule: long non-coding RNA, 273 nt
Filed under: Anser cygnoides (Swan goose)
Lineage: Eukaryota; Metazoa; Chordata; Aves; Anseriformes; Anatidae
Description: lncRNA (ENSACDG00005018078.1)
Source: RNAcentral